This 684-nucleotide ribosomal RNA is filed under the name Candidatus Nanopelagicus sp. RNAcentral's name for it is "bacterial SSU rRNA". It matches the Rfam family "Bacterial small subunit ribosomal RNA", at positions 23 to 721 of the family's 1533-position model. The record is from RNAcentral. Lineage: Bacteria; Bacillati; Actinomycetota; Actinomycetes; Candidatus Nanopelagicales; Candidatus Nanopelagicaceae.
CUCAGGACGAACGCUGGCGGCGUGCUUAACACAUGCAAGUCGAGCGAUGAAGUUUCUUCGGAAAUGGAUUAGCGGCGAACGGGUGAGGAACACGUGAAGAAUCUGCCCUCCACUUUGGGAUAACACCGGGAAACCGGUGCUAAUACCGAAUAUUGAAACAUAAGUGGCAUCACUGAGUUUUGAAAGAAUUUCGGUGGAGGAUGACUUCGCGGCCUAUCAGCUAGUUGGUGAGGUAAUGGCUCACCAAGGCAACGACGGGUAGCCGGCCUGAGAGGGCGACCGGCCACACUGGGACUGAGACACGGCCCAGACUCCUACGGGAGGCAGCAGUGGGGAAUAUUGGGCAAUGGAGGAAACUCUGACCCAGCGACGCCGCGUGCGGGAUGAAGGCCUUCGGGUUGUAAACCGCUUUCAGUAGGGAAGAAGCGAAAGUGACGGUACCUACAAAAGAAGCACCGGCUAACUAUGUGCCAGCAGCCGCGGUAAUACAUAGGGUGCAAGCGUUGUCCGGAAUUAUUGGGCGUAAAGAGCUCGUAGGUCGUUUGUUACGUCGGAUGUGAAAACUUGAGGCUCAACCUCAGGCCUGCCUUCGAUACGGGCAAACUAGAGUUUGGUAGGGGAGACUGGAAUUCCUGGUGUAGCGGUGGAAUGCGCAGAUAUCAGGAGGAACACCAAUGGCGAAGG